AACAUUACAUCCGGAGCCAACUUCUCAGCUCCUAAAAUAAUGGGAUGUGAACUUGCCAAGUAGGUACCUUCAGGCGGACCUACUAUCUGAUUUAGCUUAUUGUUUCUGGGCUGGAAACCUGUAUUGCAUGUACCAAUUCUGUCUUUCAUUAAUUUUCCUAUGUUCUUGUUAUUCUUGGCGCUGUUCAACACUAAGCAUUCCUCCGGUAUAACCAACUCUUGCCUGUAUUUAACAUCACACAAGGACUCGUCAUAAGCGCUGCUUGCAUACGAGUAUAACGGAAGAAUAAUAAUAAUAAUAAUCUGUAUUGUUCACAGAUUGAUUUUGUGGUGAUUCUGUGGUAAUAUUCUGAGUUAAUUGAGACUCAAUGAAAGUAUCUUCACAAAUCUGCACUUCCAACUUGUUGAGCUGCUGUUGUGCAUGCAGAAUAGCUAAUUGCUGCUCUCAUUCACAGAUUUGAUCAUUCAACUGUUGCAAACAUACAUUGUGAUCAUUGAAGGCAG
This 503-nucleotide small RNA is filed under the name Histoplasma ohiense. Its description in RNAcentral is "hypothetical lncRNA". The record is from RNAcentral. Lineage: Eukaryota; Fungi; Ascomycota; Eurotiomycetes; Onygenales; Ajellomycetaceae.